GACGAACGCUGGCGGCGUGCCUAAUACAUGCAAGUAGAACGCUGAAGCGAGGAGCUUGCUCUUCUUGGAUGAGUUGCGAACGGGUGAGUAACGCGUAGGUAACCUGCCUUGUAGCGGGGGAUAACUAUUGGAAACGAUAGCUAAUACCGCAUAACAAUGGAUAAAACAUUUCAUUUAUUUUAAAGGGGCAUUUGCUCCACUACAAGAGGAACCGGCGUGGUAUUAGUUAGAAGGUGAGGUAAUGGCUCACCUAGGGGACGAUACAUAGCCGACCUGAGAGGGUGAUCGGCCACACUGGGACUGAGACACGGCCCAGAAUCCUACGGGAGGCAGCAGUAGGGAAUCUUCGGCAAUGGGGGCAACCCUGACCGAGCAACGCCGCGGGAGUGAAGAAGGUUUUCGGAUCGUAAAGCUCUGUUGUAAGUCAAGAACGGGUGUGAGAGUGGAAAGUUCACACUGUGACGGUAGCUUACCAGAAAGAGACGGCUAACUACGUG
This 497-nucleotide ribosomal RNA is filed under the name uncultured bacterium. RNAcentral's name for it is "partial 16S ribosomal RNA". It matches the Rfam family "Bacterial small subunit ribosomal RNA", at positions 28 to 507 of the family's 1533-position model. The record is from RNAcentral.